CCUACGGGAGGCAGCAGUGGGGGAUAUUGCACAAUGGGGGAAACCCUGAUGCAGCGACGCCGCGUGUGGGAAGACGGUCCUCUGGAUUGUAAACCACUGUCCCCAGGGACGAAGAUGACGGUACCUGGGGAGGAAGCUCCGGCUAACUACGUGCCAGCAGCCGCGGUAAUACGUAGGGAGCGAGGGUUGUCCGGAAUUACUGGGUGUAAAGGGAGCGUAGGCGGGACUGCAAGUUGGGUGGCAAUUCUACCGGCUCAACCGGUGGCCGCACUCAAAACUGCAGUUCUUGAGUGAAGUAGAGGCAGGCGGAAUUCCUAGGGUAGCGGUGGAAUGCGUAGAUAUUAGGAGGAACACCAGUGGCGAAGGCGGCCUGCUGGGCUUUUACUGACGCUGAGGCUCGAAAGUGUGGGGAGCAAACAGGAUUAGAUACCCUUGUAGUC
Molecule: ribosomal RNA, 440 nt
Filed under: uncultured bacterium
Lineage: Bacteria
Description: partial 16S ribosomal RNA
Rfam family: Bacterial small subunit ribosomal RNA
Source: RNAcentral